This 465-nucleotide ribosomal RNA is filed under the name Vreelandella stevensii. RNAcentral's name for it is "partial 16S ribosomal RNA". It matches the Rfam family "Bacterial small subunit ribosomal RNA", at positions 338 to 795 of the family's 1533-position model. The record is from RNAcentral. Lineage: Bacteria; Pseudomonadati; Pseudomonadota; Gammaproteobacteria; Oceanospirillales; Halomonadaceae.
CCUACGGGAGGCUGCAGUGGGGAAUAUUGGACAAUGGGGGCAACCCUGAUCCAGCCAUGCCGCGUGUGUGAAGAAGGCCCUCGGGUUGUAAAGCACUUUCAGUGAGGAAGAACGCCUGGUGGUUAAUACCCAUCAGGAAAGACAUCACUCACAGAAGAAGCACCGGCUAACUCCGUGCCAGCAGCCGCGGUAAUACGGAGGGUGCGAGCGUUAAUCGGAAUUACUGGGCGUAAAGCGCGCGUAGGUGGCUUGAUAAGCCGGUUGUGAAAGCCCCGGGCUCAACCUGGGAACGGCAUCCGGAACUGUCAAGCUAGGGUGCAGGAGAGGAAGGUAGAAUUCCCGGUGUAGCGGUGAAAAGCGUAGAGAUCGGGAGGAAUACCAGUGGCGAAGGCGGCCUUCUGGACUGACACUGACACUGAGGUGCGAAAGCGUGGGUAGCAAACAGGAUUAGAUACCCUUGUAGUC